GAUGAACGCUGGCGGCGUGCCUAAUACAUGCAAGUCGAGCGAACAGACGAGGAGCUUGCUCCUCUGACGUUAGCGGCGGACGGGUGAGUAACACGUGGAUAACCUACCUAUAAGACUGGGAUAACUUCGGGAAACCGGAGCUAAUACCGGAUAAUAUAUUGAACCGCAUGGUUCAAUAGUGAAAGACGGUUUUGCUGUCACUUAUAGAUGGAUCCGCGCUGCAUUAGCUAGUUGGUAAGGUAACGGCUUACCAAGGCGACGAUGCGUAGCCGACCUGAGAGGGUGAUCGGCCACACUGGAACUGAGACACGGUCCAGACUCCUACGGGAGGCAGCAGUAGGGAAUCUUCCGCAAUGGGCGAAAGCCUGACGGAGCAACGCCGCGUGAGUGAUGAAGGUCUUCGGAUCGUAAAACCCUGUUAUUAGGGAAGAACAAAUGUGUAAGUAACUAUGCACGUCUUGACGGUACCUAAUCAGAAAGCCACGGCUAACUACGUG
Molecule: ribosomal RNA, 497 nt
Filed under: uncultured bacterium
Lineage: Bacteria
Description: partial 16S ribosomal RNA
Rfam family: Bacterial small subunit ribosomal RNA
Source: RNAcentral